Molecule: transfer RNA, 789 nt
Filed under: uncultured cyanobacterium
Lineage: Bacteria; Bacillati; Cyanobacteriota
Description: partial miscellaneous RNA
Rfam family: tRNA (bases 262-334)
Source: RNAcentral
CAGGGAGACAACAACUGAUCGUGAUGUCUGAGUGAAUUAUUCUUAGACCAUGAUCCUGUCACCUUAGGUCGAUCGGUACCUCAGAUUAUUAGUCAAAAAGAAUUGAUUUUCAUUCUUUUUGACUAGUAAUUUCAGUUCCUAAACUUUGUCUAGGUCACACCCCACAAGGGUUACUCCUGGGCCAUUAGCUCAGGUGGUUAGAGCGCACCCCUGAUAAGGGUGAGGUCCCUGGUUCAAGUCCAGGAUGGCCCAUUCGGUGUUGGGGGUUUAGCUCAGUUGGUAGAGCGCCUGCUUUGCAAGCAGGAUGUCAGCGGUUCGAGUCCGCUAACCUCCACUGGCCAACCUCCUGCAAUGCCUAAAUCAUGAGGACCAUUGUGAGUUUUGACUUAGAUUUGUUUCCGCUGAUAGAAGAACCUAGCUUCCUUUCACUCCUAAUUUGAAUUAAAUCUGAAGUGGCUGAAAGGAUGCUGGGCUCACUGUUUUUCGUAAGAAUUACAGAGAAGUUCAGUAGAACCUUGACAACUGCAUAGGUGAGUCUGGAAAGAAUAAAGCAUCUCAUGGAUGCAUUUCCUUUUGAAUUAAUUUUCAAGGAAAAUGUUUAAUUCUUGAGUCAAGAGCCGAGACUCUACAACUUUUCUUUUUGCUCUUAUUUAAGGGCUGAGAGUUAGAUCAAUUAUUUAAACCUGAAAUCUUCUCUAAUUAAUUUAGGGAAACCAAAUGUAAGGAGAAUUUUUAAGGAAAAUAUUGAGAAUUCGUUUUCAACGACGUUAAUCGUUGUAGAGAUUUUAU